Molecule: unclassified non-coding RNA, 336 nt
Filed under: soil metagenome
Description: partial contains 5.8S ribosomal RNA, internal transcribed spacer 2, and large subunit ribosomal RNA
Rfam family: 5.8S ribosomal RNA (bases 5-119)
Source: RNAcentral
GAUGAGAACGCAGCGAAAUGCGAUAAGUAGUGUGAAUUGCAGAAUUCAGUGAAUCAUCGAAUCUUUGAACGCACAUUGCGCCCCUUGGUAUUCCAUGGGGCAUGCCUGUUCGAGCGUCAUCUACACCCUCAAGCUCUGCUUGGUGUUGGGCGUCUGUCCCGCCUUUGCGCGUGGACUCGCCCCAAAUUCAUUGGCAGCGGUCCUUGCCUCCUCUCGCGCAGCACAUUUGCGCUUCUCGAGGUGCGCGGGCCGCGUCCACGAAGCAACUAUUACCGUCUUUGACCUCGGAUCAGGUAGGGAUACCCGCUGAACUUAAGCAUAUCAAUAAGCGGAGGA